Molecule: ribosomal RNA, 518 nt
Filed under: uncultured archaeon
Lineage: Archaea
Description: bacterial SSU rRNA
Rfam family: Archaeal small subunit ribosomal RNA
Source: RNAcentral
GAAACCGCGACGGGGCUAGCCGGAGUGCCGAUGCCUCGCAUCGGCUGUCGGGGAGCCUAAAAAGCUCCCCACAGCAAGGGCCGGGCAAGGCCGGUGGCAGCCGCCGCGGUAAUACCGGCGGCCCGAGUGGCGGCCACUAUUAUUGGGCCUAAAGCGUCCGUAGCCGGUCUGGCAAGUCCCCCGGGAAAUCUGGCGGCUUAACCGUCAGGCUGCCGGGGGAUACUGCCAGACUAGGGACCGGGAGAGGCCGGGGGUAUUCCCGGGGUAGGGGUGAAAUCCUGUAAUCCCGGGAGGACCACCUGUGGCGAAGGCGCCCGGCUGGAACGGGUCCGACGGUGAGGGACGAAGGCCUGGGGAGCGAACCGGAUUAGAUACCCGGGUAGUCCAGGCUGUAAACGAUGCGGGCUAGGUGUCGCGACAGCCACGAGCUGUCGCGGUGCCGGAGGGAAGCCGUUAAGCCCGCCGCCUGGGAAGCACGGCCGCAAGGCUGAAACUUAAAGGAAUUGGCGGGGGAGCAC